AUUGAACGCUGGCGGCAUGCUUUACACAUGCAAGUCGAACGGCAGCACGGGUGCUUGCACCUGGUGGCGAGUGGCGGACGGGUGAGUAAUACAUCGGAACGUAUCCUAAAGUGGGGGAUAACGCAUCGAAAGAUGUGCUAAUACCGCAUACACUCUGAGGAGGAAAGUAGGGGAUCGAAAGACCUUAUGCUUUUGGAGCGGCCGAUGUCUGAUUAGCUAGUUGGUAAGGUAAUGGCUUACCAAGGCAACGAUCGAGUAGUUGGUCUGAGAGGACGACCAGCCACACUGGGACUGAGACACGGCCCAGACUCCUACGGGAGGCAGCAGUGGGGAAUUUUGGACAAUGGGCGCAAGCCUGAUCCAGCAAUGCCGCGUGAGUGAAGAAGGCCUCGGUUGUAAGACUCUUCAGUUUGAGAAGAAAGAAUUGUGACUAAUAAUUAGU
Molecule: ribosomal RNA, 442 nt
Filed under: uncultured bacterium
Lineage: Bacteria
Description: bacterial SSU rRNA
Rfam family: Bacterial small subunit ribosomal RNA
Source: RNAcentral